CAGCCGCCGCGGGAAUACGAGGGGGGCAAGCGUUGUUCGGAAUUAUUGGGCGUAAAGGGCGCGUAGGCGGUUUGGCAAGUUUGGUGUGAAAUCUUCGGGCUCAACUCGAAGUCUGCAUCGAAAACUGCCGGGCUUGAGUAUGGGAGAGGUGAGUGGAAUUUCCGGUGUAGCGGUGAAAUGCGUAGAUAUCGGAAGGAACACCUGUGGCGAAAGCGGCUCACUGGACCAUUACUGACGCUGAGGCGCGAAAGCUAGGGGAGCAAACAGGAUUAGAUACCCCUGUAGUCCCUGUCUCUUAUAC
RNAcentral lists this ribosomal RNA (301 nucleotides) under uncultured bacterium. Its description in RNAcentral is "partial 16S ribosomal RNA". It matches the Rfam family "Bacterial small subunit ribosomal RNA", at positions 509 to 807 of the family's 1533-position model. The record is from RNAcentral.